RNAcentral lists this ribosomal RNA (253 nucleotides) under uncultured bacterium. RNAcentral describes it as "partial 16S ribosomal RNA". It matches the Rfam family "Bacterial small subunit ribosomal RNA", at positions 524 to 776 of the family's 1533-position model. The record is from RNAcentral.
UACGUAGGGAGCAAGCGUUGUCCGGAAUCAUUGGGCUUAAAGCGCGCGUAGGUGGCCCCAUAAGUCCGCUGUGAAAGUCAAAGGCUCAACCUUUGAAAGCCGGUGGAUACUGUGGGACUAGAGUACGGAAGAGGCGAGUGGAAUUCCUGGUGUAGCGGUGAAAUGCGUAGAUAUCGAGAGGAACACCUGCGGCGAAGGCGGGUUGCUGGGCUGACACUGACGCUGAGGCGCGAAAGCCAGGGGAGCGAACGGG